GCNCGCGGCCUAUCAGCUUGUUGGUGAGGUAAUGGCUCACCAAGGCGACGACGGGUAGCCGGCCUGAGAGGGCGACCGGCCACACUGGGACUGAGACACGGCCCAGACUCCUACGGGAGGCAGCAGUGGGGAAUAUUGCACAAUGGGCGAAAGCCUGAUGCAGCGACGCCGCGUGAGGGAUGAAGGCCUUCGGGUUGUAAACCUCUUUCAGUAGGGAAGAAGCGCAAGUGACGGUACCUACAGAAGAAGCACCGGCUAACUACGUGCCAGCAGCCGCGGUAAUACGUAGGGUGCGAGCGUUGUCCGGAAUUAUUGGGCGUAAAGAGCUUGUAGGCGGUUUGUCGCGUCUGCCGUGAAAAUCCGGGGCUCAACUCCGGACUUGCGGUGGGUACGGGCAGACUAGAGUGUGGUAGGGGAGACUGGAAUUCCUGGUGUAGCGGUGAAAUGCGCAGAUAUCAGGAGGAACACCGAUGGCGAAGGCAGGUCUCUG
This 490-nucleotide ribosomal RNA is filed under the name uncultured bacterium. RNAcentral describes it as "bacterial SSU rRNA". It matches the Rfam family "Bacterial small subunit ribosomal RNA", at positions 229 to 731 of the family's 1533-position model. The record is from RNAcentral.